Molecule: ribosomal RNA, 484 nt
Filed under: uncultured bacterium
Lineage: Bacteria
Description: partial 16S ribosomal RNA
Rfam family: Bacterial small subunit ribosomal RNA
Source: RNAcentral
AUUGGACGCUGGCGGCAGGCCUAACACAUGCAAGUCGAGCGGAUGAAGGGAGCUUGCUCCUGGAUUCAGCGGCGGACGGGUGAGUAAUGCCUAGGAAUCUGCCUGGUAGUGGGGGAUAACGUCCGGAAACGGGCGCUAAUACCGCAUACGUCCUGAGGGAGAAAGUGGGGGAUCUUCGGACCUCACGCUAUCAGAUGAGCCUAGGUCGGAUUAGCUAGUUGGUGGGGUAAAGGCCUACCAAGGCGACGAUCCGUAACUGGUCUGAGAGGAUGAUCAGUCACACUGGAACUGAGACACGGUCCAGACUCCUACGGGAGGCAGCAGUGGGAAAUAUUGGACAAUGGGCGAAAGCCUGAUCCAGCCAUGCCGCGUGUGUGAAGAAGGUCUUCGGAUUGUAAAGCACUUUAAGUUGGGAGGAAGGGCAGUAAGUUAAUACCUUGCUGUUUUGACGUUACCAACAGAAUAAGCACCGGCUAACUUCGUG